UAUAUAUAAUAUAUGAGGUUAGCAUAAAUCAUAUUUUGAUUUUAAAGGGAGAGAAAAAAGGGGAACUUGGUGGGAGAGAGCACAGACCACAGGGGCAUGUCUCAAAAUUUGUUGCAAAGUGUAUAGUUGAGGGUUUGGUACUUUGGUUUCAUUUAGUUAAAUUUGUUUGUGUCUGGAAUUGCCGCUUGUUUGAAAAUGUCUCUCUUUGCUGCAUUUUCCAUUUGUAAAGUUGCCAAGGAUGCAGCUGGAGUUGCAGGAAAUGUGUUUGCUUUUGGGUUGUUUGUGUCUCCCAUACCCACAUUUAGGAGGAUUAUCAGAAAUGGGUCAACAGAGAUGUUCUCAGGGUUGCCAUAUAUUUAUUCCCUUCUGAACUGCUUGAUCUGCAUGUGGUAUGGCACACCUCUGAUAUCUGCUGAUAAUUUGUUGGUUACAACUGUUAAUUCAAUUGGAGCAGUCUUUCAGUUUGUGUACACAAUCAUCUUCCUGAUGUAUGCUGAGAAAGCAAAGAAGGUGAGAAUGGUUGGAUUAUUGCUGGCAGUUCUUGGCAUGUUUGCAAUCGUAUUGGUUGGGAGCUUGCAGAUAGAUGACGUUAUAAUGCGUCGGUUCUUUGUGGGGUUCUUGAGCUGCGCGUCUCUCAUUUCAAUGUUUGCCUCUCCAUUGUUUAUAAUUAAAUUGGUCAUUCAGACAAAGAGUGUUGAAUUCAUGCCGUUUUAUCUCUCACUUUCCACCUUCCUAAUGAGCACCUCUUUCUUACUUUAUGGAUUAUUCAACGAUGAUGCUUUUAUUUAUGUGCCAAAUGGGAUAGGAACCAUUUUGGGAAUGAUACAGUUGAUAUUAUACUUCUACUUCGAGAGUAAAUCUAGAGAGAGCUCCAGAGAACCUCUGAUAGUAUCAUAUGCAUGAUGAGUUCUGCUGAAAAGGCUGAAGGUAAGAAAAGACGCUUUUCAGUGGAUAAAAUCCUUGCAACCAGAGCGUGAUGUUAAUUUCUUCCUUGAUCCCAAAUAGCUGAAACCAUGCUCCUAGUGCCAUCAAAAUUAUUUUAACUUCAUAUUGCAGAUAUUCAGUCUCUUCUGGUACCAAUGCACUCAAUAUUUUGCCCACCAACAUCGGUUUUCUGAACAAUAGAUCAUUUAAGCAUAAUAAAUCAGAGUCAGGAACGACCUUUUGCUGCUGGUUGCUGGCUGAGACUGGAGUUGGCAACAUCUGUCAAUUUAUAGGAGGAAUUACUGUUGCAUCCUUGAGAGUGACCAGAAGUUGUGAUAGUGAAUAACUUGAAAUUGUUUAUAUCAUAGUUACCAGAUAUAUGGUACGAGUACUGGUAUGCGGUACUUGUAGGUACAGAUGGUCAAUUUUUACAUUAUUAUUACAAGACUUUCUUUAAAGAGAACCCGGUAUGCAGUUCUUAGUACGGUGAAUUCAGUACACAAUAUGCAGGGUUAACUAUGAUCUGUAUAUGAAUGAAAGCCUUGAGGAGGUGAACCAUGCUUCGAAAUGGGACUAUUUCAAGAAAGGCAGGCACAUUGCACAUUGCUUCUCUUGCAGUGAAGUCAUUUCCAAGUUAUUAGAUGUUGAGAGACAAAUAUGUACACAUUAUUUGAGUGAUAUAUAUUAUUUGUUAUAGUCUGAUGUUCCGUCUUAAAUUCUUGAUCCUCAUUUCUCUAUGUUGAUCACCAAAUAGAUACUGAGUCAUUGUCUCCCUUUGUCAUUAGCUGCUUUAUUUAAUGCCGUAGAUAGGAAGAGUCAAUUUAUAUGCAAAAAUGAAUUUCGCUAUACUAUUUGAGUGCCAAGGUGGUUCUUGAUUACU
This is an RNA transcript of Glycine soja, 1804 nucleotides long. It is a transcript of the gene named bidirectional sugar transporter SWEET2-like, with no coding region annotated. The transcript is spliced from 8 exons. The record is from RefSeq and is a predicted model, not a curated record. Lineage: Eukaryota; Viridiplantae; Streptophyta; Magnoliopsida; Fabales; Fabaceae.